Homo sapiens (human) is the source of this 646-nucleotide long non-coding RNA. RefSeq lists it as uncharacterized. NCBI's taxonomy places the organism in Eukaryota, Metazoa, Chordata, Mammalia, Primates, Hominidae. The transcript is spliced from 3 exons. The record is from RefSeq and is a predicted model, not a curated record.
AAACAUUAGAGAGAAGAAAAGACAGCCAAAAAAGAAACAGCCCGAAUUUAUAGGAGAUGCAGAUGAAAUCCGUUCCAGACCUCCAAGGAAAAUUAGCCUUUCUCUGACACACUCCUCAAAAUCCUUCCAGACUUGACCCACUAUUCACCACGGCAGCACAUCACCUCCAGAGUGAAGAAAAGUUUCAAACAUCAGGAAAAAAAAACAGCGCAUUGCAAAACAUAUUAGACUGAACCUAUCGAUGACAAAAUGCAACUGUGAAAUGUUGAGACUGUUCAUCAAAGCUGGACAUAAGCAGGAUCCAUUCCAUUUUCAAAGAGGUAGAGUGACUGUCUGAAAAAACAAAAGUAACUAGAAAAUUGAUAAAACUGACCGAGUCAUCUAUGCAGAAAGUUGCUUAUAUAGACCCAUAAUAUAAUACAUUUGUGAUCAUAAAGCACAAUUUUGAUUUUGGAAUUGCAAUCAUAGUUCAAGGCGAGUAACAAUUUUAACCUCUGUAAUUAUUUUAAAAGCUAAUGCACAUCCUUUAACAAUUCAGUUUGCUGAAAUGGUCACUUAUGCUUUUGUAUUUAUACACCUAAACAUCAUCUAAGUGCAAUAGAUUUUACAAUCCCAGGUGAUUUACCUAGACUGCAACAUUGUUAUC